This 498-nucleotide ribosomal RNA is filed under the name uncultured bacterium. RNAcentral's name for it is "bacterial SSU rRNA". It matches the Rfam family "Bacterial small subunit ribosomal RNA", at positions 8 to 518 of the family's 1533-position model. The record is from RNAcentral.
AGAGUUGAUCCUGGCUUAGGAUGAACGCUGGCGGCGCGCUUAACACAUGCAAGUCGAACGGUUAAAGCACCUCCGGGUGUGCAUAAAGUGGCGAACGGCUGAGUAACACGUGGGCAACCUGCCCCCCGCACCGGGAUAGCCUCGGGAAACCGUGGGUAAUACCGGAUACUCCGCCACCCCCGCAUGGGGGAGGCGGGAAAGCGUACACGGCGGGGGAUGGGCCCGCGGCCUGUUAGCUCGUUGGCGGGGUAACGGCCCACCAAGGCGAUUAUGGGUAGCCGGGUUGAGAGACCGACCGGCCAGAUUGGGACUGAGACACGGCCCAGACUCCUACGGGAGGCAGCAGUGGGGAAUCUUGCACAAUGGGCGAAAGCCUGAUGCCAGCGACGCCGCGUGCGGGAUGAAGGCCCUCGGGUUGUAAACCGCUUUCAGCAGGGACGAGGCGCAAGUGACGGUACCUGCAGAAGAAGCCCCGGCUAACUACGUGCCAGCCGCCGC